Small nuclear RNA from Rhinolophus ferrumequinum (greater horseshoe bat), 159 nucleotides. Its record names the gene U1. It matches the Rfam family "U1 spliceosomal RNA". Rfam says of the family: U1 is a small nuclear RNA (snRNA) component of the spliceosome (involved in pre-mRNA splicing). The record is from Ensembl. NCBI's taxonomy places the organism in Eukaryota, Metazoa, Chordata, Mammalia, Chiroptera, Rhinolophidae.
AUAUUUACCUGGUGGAAGAGAUACCAUGAUCACGAAGGUGGUUUUCCAGGGCGAGGCUUACCCACUGCACUCUGGGUAUGCUGACCCCUGUGAUUUCCCAAAAUGUGGGAAACUCGACUGCAUAAUUCAUGGUAGUGGACUGCAUUCAUGCUUUCCCCU